AUUGGUUAUGGCGAUAUAACUCCGCAUACCUAUUUGGGACGUCUAAUUGGUUCCAUCUGUGCUCUUGCUGGUGUGCUCACUAUUGCUUUACCAGUUCCAGUGAGUUUCGUAGUCUCU
RNAcentral lists this small RNA (117 nucleotides) under Caenorhabditis brenneri. RNAcentral describes it as "sRNA CBN34096". The record is from RNAcentral. Lineage: Eukaryota; Metazoa; Nematoda; Chromadorea; Rhabditida; Rhabditidae.